UUUCAUUGCUCCUCAUUACAUAUGAUGAGAGAACAUCAUUUCUCUCCUUUUCCUCCCAGGUGGCCGUUGAGGACCGCAUCAGGCAGCUGCAUGAGGCUCACAGGGAUUUUGGCCCAGCAUCCCAGCACUUCCUUUCCACUUCUGUCCAGGGUCCCUGGGAGAGAGCCAUCUCACCAAACAAAGUGCCCUACUAUAUCAAGUAAGUUGGAAGAGUCACAUUCUUAAAGGAGCAUUUCUUGUGGCUAAUCUGUGUAUUCAAGAAUGAAUUCGUUUUUUAAAACCCAGUGCUAGCCUGGCCU
This 299-nucleotide long non-coding RNA is filed under the name Dasypus novemcinctus (nine-banded armadillo). RNAcentral's name for it is "lncRNA (ENSDNOG00000051147.1)". The record is from RNAcentral. Lineage: Eukaryota; Metazoa; Chordata; Mammalia; Cingulata; Dasypodidae.